GAUCCUGGCUCAGGAUGAACGCUAGCGGCAGGCUUAACACAUGCAAGUCGAGGGGCAGCGAGAUCAAAGCUUGCUUUGGUUGUCGGCGACCGGCGCACGGGUGCGUAACGCGUAUGCAACCUACCCACUACAGGGGGAUAACACUGAGAAAUCGGUACUAAUACCCACAUAAUAUCGUUAGGAAGGCAUUCCUUCCGGUAGGGUUAAGAAAACCGUCCGGGUGGUAGGUGGAGUGGGCAUGCGUUGUAUUAGCUUGGG
This 258-nucleotide ribosomal RNA is filed under the name uncultured bacterium. RNAcentral's name for it is "partial 16S ribosomal RNA". It matches the Rfam family "Bacterial small subunit ribosomal RNA", at positions 15 to 250 of the family's 1533-position model. The record is from RNAcentral.